This 112-nucleotide ribosomal RNA is filed under the name Periophthalmus magnuspinnatus. The record is from RNAcentral. Lineage: Eukaryota; Metazoa; Chordata; Actinopteri; Gobiiformes; Gobiidae.
CACAGAACCAGCUUGUCAAAGCCUGCUGUCGUCUGAUCUCUGAAGCUAAGCAAGGCCAGAUCUGGUUAGUGCUUAGAUGGGAGACUGCUGGGAAUACCUGUUGCAACAGUGG